Long non-coding RNA from Pieris rapae (cabbage white), 650 nucleotides. RefSeq lists it as uncharacterized. The record is from RefSeq and is a predicted model, not a curated record. The transcript is spliced from 3 exons. Lineage: Eukaryota; Metazoa; Arthropoda; Insecta; Lepidoptera; Pieridae.
UUUUUUUUUUUUUUUUUUUUCCUUUCUUGGCCUGCACGGUUUGUGCGUCAGCCAUGUACAAAAGUUAGGAAGUGCAUUAUUAGGUUUAUUGGAUAGGAAAUUAGUACGGAAUUUGGAAAAGGAUCAGAUAAAUUUUAUUAUAAGCAAAAAAUAUAUGGUUAAAACCCCCAACGUCAUUGCCACACUCAAAUGUGUCGUCAGGCAAAAGGUUUAAGCCUUGCCAAAUGCAAGGGUAUGCAUGCAUGGCCCAGCCUCAUACAUAUAAGGGUCGAAGUAAUAUCUUUACCAAGCGUCAAAGUAUAAGUGGAAGGGUGAGACUUCGUGCUAUCCGAGCAGUCUGUAUCGAUAAUGGAACCUUCCGUUUCCAUUCCAGACGCAUCGAUUGUGACUACAUGAGACACCUGGAGGGAUGUCCCUCCAGGGUCUUCGGGCUCCAUCACGGACGACAAGAAAAAAAUUCUUAUCUACAUAUAAUAUAAUAAAAUAACUUACCAGGCUACUAAGACAAACUAAAAAUAUAAAUAAUCAACAAUAACUACUACUAUAUACACCUUAUAACUUAACUGAUCCUGUAUUAUUAUAUUAAUUUAAUUUUCAAAAUUUAAGCCAAAAAAAAGACGCCCGCCUAUUUUUACACUUCCCGCGCUUUU